GACGAACGCUGGCGGCGUGCUUAACACAUGCAAGUCGAACGGAAAGGCCCUGCUUGCAGGGUACUCGAGUGGCGAACGGGUGAGUAACACGUGGGUGAUCUGCCCUGCACUUCGGGAUAAGCUUGGGAAACUGGGUCUAAUACCGGAUAGGAGCCAUCUUUAGUGUGGUGGUUGGAAAGUUUUUCCGGUGUAGGAUGAGCUCGCGGCCUAUCAGCUUGUUGGUGGGGUAAUGGCCUACCAAGGCGGCGACGGGUAGCCGGCCUGAGAGGGUGUACGGCCACAUUGGGACUGAGAUACGGCCCAGACUCCUACGGGAGGCAGCAGUGGGGAAUAUUGCACAAUGGGCGCAAGCCUGAUGCAGCGACGCCGCGUGGGGGAUGAAGGCCUUCGGGUUGUAAACUCCUUUCGCUAGGGACGAAGCUUUUUGUGACGGUACCUAGAUAAGAAGCACCGGCUAACUACGUG
Molecule: ribosomal RNA, 465 nt
Filed under: uncultured bacterium
Lineage: Bacteria
Description: partial 16S ribosomal RNA
Rfam family: Bacterial small subunit ribosomal RNA
Source: RNAcentral